Molecule: ribosomal RNA, 493 nt
Filed under: Comamonas sp. No.5
Lineage: Bacteria; Pseudomonadati; Pseudomonadota; Betaproteobacteria; Burkholderiales; Comamonadaceae
Description: bacterial SSU rRNA
Rfam family: Bacterial small subunit ribosomal RNA
Source: RNAcentral
CCGCAAGGUUGAAACUCAAAGGAAUUGACGGGGACCCGCACAAGCGGUGGAUGAUGUGGUUUAAUUCGAUGCAACGCGAAAAACCUUACCCACCUUUGACAUGGCAGGAACUUACCAGAGAUGGUUUGGUGCUCGAAAGAGAACCUGCACACAGGUGCUGCAUGGCUGUCGUCAGCUCGUGUCGUGAGGUGUUGGGUUAAGUCCCGCAACGAGCGCAACCCUUGCCAUUAGUUGCUACAUUCAGUUGAGCACUCUAAUGGGACUGCCGGUGACAAACCGGAGGAAGGUGGGGAUGACGUCAAGUCCUCAUGGCCCUUAUAGGUGGGGCUACACACGUCAUACAAUGGCUGGUACAAAGGGUUGCCAACCCGCGAGGGGGAGCUAAUCCCAUAAAGCCAGUCGUAGUCCGGAUCGCAGUCUGCAACUCGACUGCGUGAAGUCGGAAUCGCUAGUAAUCGUGGAUCAGAAUGUCACGGUGAAUACGUUCCCGGUC